GAUGAACGCUGGCGGCGUGCCUAAUACAUGCAAGUCGAGCGAACAGACGAGGAGCUUGCUCCUCUGACGUUAGCGGCGGACGGGUGAGUAACACGUGGAUAACCUACCUAUAAGACUGGGAUAACUUCGGGAAACCGGAGCUAAUACCGGAUAAUAUAUUGAACCGCAUGGUUCAAUAGUGAAAGACGGUUUUGCUGUCACUUAUAGAUGGAUCCGCGCCGCAUUAGCUAGUUGGUAAGGUAACGGCUUACAAAGGCAACGAUGCGUAGCCGACCUGAGAGGGUGAUCGCCCACACUGGAACUAGGACACGUUCCAGACUCCUACGGGAGGCAGCAGUAGGGAAUCUUCCGCAAUGGGCGAAAGCCUGACGGAGCAACGCCGCGUGAGUGAUGAAGGUCUUCGGAUCUUAAAACUCUGUUAUUAGGGAAGACCAAAUGUGUAAGUAAAUAUGCACGUCUUGACGGUACCUAAUCAGAAAGCCACGGCUAACUACGUG
This 497-nucleotide ribosomal RNA is filed under the name uncultured bacterium. RNAcentral describes it as "partial 16S ribosomal RNA". It matches the Rfam family "Bacterial small subunit ribosomal RNA", at positions 28 to 507 of the family's 1533-position model. The record is from RNAcentral.